RNAcentral lists this transfer RNA (67 nucleotides) under Mesoplodon grayi (Gray's beaked whale). RNAcentral describes it as "tRNA-Val". Lineage: Eukaryota; Metazoa; Chordata; Mammalia; Artiodactyla; Ziphiidae. The record is from RNAcentral.
CAAGAUAUAGCUUAAAUAAAGCAUCUAGUUUACACCCAGAAGAUUCCACAAUCCGUGUAUAUCUUGA